CCAUAUUUUCUCCAUGCAUGGCCGUCAUCCACUAGUUCAGGACUGUUUUUUAUCCAUGAGUGGGAAGUCCUUCUCCUCUUAUAGCAUCCUCUCCGAUCCUUCCUCGUGGAAGUACUUUUGCUACUCUCGCCGGAAUCUUCAGAUUUCCGGCCAUCCCAACAAGGCGAACCUAAGUGAGUACUGGCCGGAAAUUGUGAGACCUCAUCAGUCUCAGCUCUAUUCAAUAUAGAAAGAGUACUCGUGAAAGAAUUCAAGAUCUUCACGACAAGAUCUUCAGCAGGCAUAGAUCCAUCUUCUCCAAUGGAAUCACAAAGGACAGCUUUAAGCUGGUUAGCAAAUUCGCGACCUUUCAUCAGCUCAUCGAUCGCCUUUUUCCGAUCGGAAGGCAAGUGUUCCGGCCAACAGGACUCCAUUUUCGGCGAAUCUCCGAUGCUC
This 435-nucleotide unclassified non-coding RNA is filed under the name Hevea brasiliensis (rubber tree). The record is from RNAcentral. Lineage: Eukaryota; Viridiplantae; Streptophyta; Magnoliopsida; Malpighiales; Euphorbiaceae.